AGACCUCAGGCAUUCUCCUCUCCCAGACCACCAGUCAUGAUGAGGGAUCUAAUUUCAGGACAGUGGGUAGGACUGGUAGAUCUUGUGACAUGGGGGAGGGGUUAUGCAUGUGUAUCUACAGGAAAAGAGCUGAAAUGGGUUCCUUCCAGGUAUGUUAGACCUUACCUAGGUACAUCCACACAGCAGCAAGAACCAGAGUAAUGCAGAGUUUAAAAACACAGUUAUGUUUACCAUUUGGUAAUGAUGUUUACAUUUCAGGUUUACAAUUGAAGAUGACCAGUGUGGCAAAAUGCAGAGUUUAUACAAAAACCCAUGAGUGUGUAUGUGAAGAGUGAAGUGGCGGCCACCCAUGUGUCGCAAUUGACAGUGGCAUGGAGCUCCAUAGUGCAACCAUGUGCUGUGUGAGAAGACAGUAGAAACAAGAUUUCUUCACGUCCCUUCCUUUUUGCCCCCCCAUCCAAAAUGUAUCUUUUGAAGGGGAAAGCACUGCCAUGUGCUGAAGUCCUACUAAAAGCUGGAAACUCUCCUUUGUUCCUUCUGUCUUGUGCACCAGUGGUACUGCUGCAAUCCAAAGAGGACUUGCAGGCUCUACCUGGACUGUAAUCAGGUACCACAUGUUAGUAAAGUGACUCGUUAGAAGUGUCAGAGCU
Long non-coding RNA from Pipra filicauda (Wire-tailed manakin), 650 nucleotides. RefSeq lists it as uncharacterized. The transcript has 3 exons. The record is from RefSeq and is a predicted model, not a curated record. NCBI's taxonomy places the organism in Eukaryota, Metazoa, Chordata, Aves, Passeriformes, Pipridae.